UUCCUCUGAAGGAUAGAUGGAAUACAUAAUGAAGCUGUUACAUUCCGUAAAGCGAAUAUGAUUGGACAAAUUAUGAGACGAAAUGUCUUCAACUUAUUCGCAAACUUUCAAUAAAUAUGACGUCUUGCUUGCUUGAAUGAAGUGUUGACAUUGAAUGUGUUAGCCCACUUGAGCUAUUUUUCGUAAACAAAAUUGGCGCUGUUAGGAUGAACCA
This 214-nucleotide non-coding RNA is filed under the name Onchocerca volvulus. RNAcentral describes it as "Eukaryotic large subunit ribosomal RNA". It matches the Rfam family "Eukaryotic large subunit ribosomal RNA", at positions 968 to 1170 of the family's 3401-position model. Lineage: Eukaryota; Metazoa; Nematoda; Chromadorea; Rhabditida; Onchocercidae. The record is from Rfam by way of RNAcentral.